GAGGGUAUAGCUUUAGUGGUAGAGUGCAGGCUUAGCAUGCCUGAAAUCCUAGAUUCAAUUCCCAGUACCUCCU
Camelus ferus (Wild Bactrian camel) is the source of this 73-nucleotide transfer RNA. It matches the Rfam family "tRNA". Rfam says of the family: Transfer RNA (tRNA) molecules are approximately 80 nucleotides in length. Their secondary structure includes four short double-helical elements and three loops (D, anti-codon, and T loops). The record is from Rfam. NCBI's taxonomy places the organism in Eukaryota, Metazoa, Chordata, Mammalia, Artiodactyla, Camelidae.